This 520-nucleotide unclassified non-coding RNA is filed under the name uncultured Glomus. RNAcentral's name for it is "SSU rRNA". It matches the Rfam family "Eukaryotic small subunit ribosomal RNA", at positions 569 to 1084 of the family's 1831-position model. RNAcentral also lists the same sequence under 1 other name. Lineage: Eukaryota; Fungi; Glomeromycota; Glomeromycetes; Glomerales; Glomeraceae. The record is from RNAcentral.
AGCAGCCGCGGUAAUUCCAGCUCCAAUAGCGUAUAUUAAAGUUGUUGCAGUUAAAAAGCUCGUAGUUGAAUUUCGGGAUUGACGUGAUGGUCGUGCCUUACGGGGUAUGAACUGUUGCUGUUGAUUUCUCACCUUCUGGAGAAACUUGAUGUCCUUAAUUGGGUGUCUUGCGGAUCCAGGACCUUUACCUCGAAAAAAUUAGAGUGUUUAAAGCAGGCAUUUUGCUCGAAUACAUUAGCAUGGAAUAAUAGAAUAGGACGGCAUGGUUCUAUUUUGUUGGUUUCUAGGAUCACCGUAAUGAUUAAUAGGGAUAGUUGGGGGCAUUAGUAUUCAAUUGUCAGAGGUGAAAUUCUUGGAUUUAUUGAAGACUAACUACUGCGAAAGCAUUUGCCAAGGAUGUUUUCAUUAAUCAAGAACGAAAGUUAGGGGAUCGAAGACGAUCAGAUACCGUCGUAGUCUUAACCAUAAACUAUGCCAACUAGGAAUCAGACGAUGUUAAUUUUUUAAUGACUCGUUUGGC